CACCACGAGAGAACAGCACUAAGCUGUCUAGAACCAAACAUAGGAAAAGAAGAACAUAAUAUUGAUUUAACGCUUGGAAAUGGCCCAUUUUCUUGAGUGCUCAGAUUAUCUUGUGUGAAGAAAGGUCCUCUGAAGAGCGUACAAAGACCGAAGUUUCCUUAUGAAGCUGGUCCUGAUGGGAAUCAAAUCAUGCAUCUUCCACCUCCCUCCCAAAAAAAGUUGAAUAAAUUGUCAUUUUUAAGAGAAAAUUGCUAAUAUAUACAAAAUAGCUAUUAACUAUUUUAAAAAGGCCAAUUUUUAUUUGAAUUGCUUCUGUUCUUUAAAAUGCCAGGACGGGCUUGAUAUGCAUGUGUAGCUAUUAAAUACUUUAAAAAGGCCAAUUUUUAUUUGGAUUGCUUCUACUCUUUAAAAUGUCAGGACGGGCAUGAUAUGCAUGUGUUGUCUUCAGCAACGGAAUAUGAAUGUUGUUAUAUUUCCUUAAUUACUUUUUUUUUUGACUAAAAUACUCAGAUGGCAUAUGUUAACUCUGGGAAUAUUUUAUGUUACAAAAUUAAUGCACCCUUUUCAAUCGGACCCAAGAUUGUUCUGGUGUCAUAAUCAGGGGCGAAGCCACCGCUUAGACUAUGGUGGCAUGUGCACCCGUAGUUUUAUAAAUAUUAUACGUUUUGUAUGUAAAAUAUUAAAGAAAUCAGCUAGCUGAGUUGGUUUAGUAGAGUUAUGCACCCCUCUCAUGGCCUAAGAUCGAUUCCCCCGUAGGAUUUUAUUAACUUUUGCACCCAUAGCAAAUAAAAACUUUGUGAAAUAAUCAUGUCACAAAUUGGUUCUAUAAUGUGAUAAUUUUGGAUGAAAAGUCCACCAAUUCUUUUCGUUCAGGCGAGUGUUUGUCUAGUUGACGCGAUGCAAAACAGAAAAUUAUACUACACUAUGUGUAUUAGAAAAAUAAUAUAGAAUAAUUCAUUAAUACCAAUAAUAUAUCAACAAACAUAUUUGUCUUAACUGCAAAAAAGAAUAAAAAGAAAAAAGAGAGAGGAGAAAAAGAAAUGGGAAAAUGAGUAGAAAGAAAAGGAGAAGAAUUAAAAAGAAGGAGAAAAAAAAAUAAGAAAUGAAAAAAUAAACCUAUUAAUUUAUAGUAAUGAUGCAACAAUAAAACAUAACACAUGUUUAUUUAAUGUAAAAUUAUAUUUUUAUUUUACUUUUACCAAAUAGAAUAAAAAAAAAGUAUAUUUCAAAGCAAUGAUUAGUAAAACAUGCACAUUUUAAUUCAAUCGAUGAAUCGACUUCAAACCACUUGGAUUGGAAAGGUAACACAGUUCUAUCUCUUGUGUCUGAAAAUGAGCCCAAUCCUUUAGUGUAAAGUUUUUUUUUUCAAUUGCUAAACUUCUAAUGCAUAUGCACUAUUAUGUAUUUUUAAUUGUAUUUUUUUGCACCCAAAUUGGUUUUCUUUGUUUCAAAUUGAUCUAAAAUCUGAAAGGACCUGAUAAAGCAUUAAGAGACACUAAAAAUACUCUUUAAUUCGAUAGAAAAAAUCAAAACAAAAAUUAGAAACUAGUAAAAACACAGUUUAUCACAGUUGUAAUACCAUAAAAUAAUCAACAAAACUUGAUUGUAUUCAUUCCUAAAGUAAGGUAUUUAUAGAAUGAUGUUGAACCUAAUAUUAAUAGGAAUUAACUCAAAUGUUAUAUAAUAGACUACAACAUUGUAUAUUCCUUUAUCGUACUAAAAGACAGCACUCCGAAAGAGCGUUGCCUCUAACCUCCUCACGUAACUACUUGUUGUGCCACCACGAGAGAACAGCACUAAGCUGUCUAGAACCAAACAUAGGAAAAGAAGAACAUAAUAUUGAUUUAACGCUUGGAAAUGGCCCAUUUUCUUGAGUGCUCAGAUUAUCUUGUGUGAAGAAAGGUCCUCUGAAGAGCGUACAAAGACCGAAGUUUCCUUAUGAAGCUGGUCCUGAUGGGAAUCAAAUCAUGCAUCUUCCACCUCCCUCCCAAAAAAAGUUGAAUAAAUUGUCAUUUUUAAGAGAAAAUUGCUAAUAUAUACAAAAUAGCUAUUAACUAUUUUAAAAAGGCCAAUUUUUA
This 2078-nucleotide long non-coding RNA is filed under the name Brassica napus (rape). RNAcentral's name for it is "long non-coding RNA (BNAP_LNC013736)". Lineage: Eukaryota; Viridiplantae; Streptophyta; Magnoliopsida; Brassicales; Brassicaceae. The record is from RNAcentral.